GUCUUACCAGACAAAGUUAGA
This 21-nucleotide microRNA is filed under the name Chrysemys picta bellii (western painted turtle). Its description in RNAcentral is "Cpi-Mir-8-P3a_5p* (star (passenger))". RNAcentral also lists the same sequence under 6 other names. The record is from RNAcentral. Lineage: Eukaryota; Metazoa; Chordata; Testudines; Emydidae.